RNAcentral lists this long non-coding RNA (1233 nucleotides) under Monodelphis domestica (gray short-tailed opossum). Its description in RNAcentral is "lncRNA (ENSMODG00000047291.1)". Lineage: Eukaryota; Metazoa; Chordata; Mammalia; Didelphimorphia; Didelphidae. The record is from RNAcentral.
CCUGGCCCGGCUCUUCGGAUCCAAUUCCUCUGACUCUCCAGGGACCCGGCCGCGGCCCUGAAGCCCCGCCCCUCCCACCGUGACGUCAGUGAUAUUCUUUUCAGCUGGGGGGAAGGGGCGGAGACUGCGCAAAGGACAGGACAAUUUCUAGCCCAGCCCUCGCAAAGGCUCCUGGGAAUUGUAGUCUGGGCCUGCGCUCCUAGGGCUACCCAAGGGAAACCGUGAGAUUGGUUGCCCGAGUACUUUUCUCUGAAUCUCCAUCUUAUUAAAUCAUUGGUCCAUUUCACAAGUUGCUUAUCUUAGAGACAACGGGGGUCAAAAAUUAAGACACUAUGGUGCAAUAUGGAAGAAGGAUUUACUUGGAAAUUUUCACAAAGUUUUUGAUAAGAAUUGAUACCGAUCAUACUUGUUGACACACGGAGAUAAUUUGAUAAUUGGUUUAUUAUAUGCUCAGAGCACGAACUGUACAAGCAAUGCAGGUACUCAGAAAUAAAUGAUGAGCCAAGGAUAGUAUAAGGCUGUGUGGGAGCAGUAUGAAUGUACUUUCUCAUGGGAAAGCCAGUCAACAACAUAUGGCCAAUGUAGGAGGGAACAUGUUCCUUUCCUAACAGGAAAAGAUGAAUCCGGCAUAGGAGAAGCUACGCUAUGGAAGGUCCUGCACUCCAAUGCUAAAGACACAUCUGGCUUCUGGAAGAUAAGACUUGCUUCCGUAACUUCAAGGCACCAACCCUCCUUUAAUGUAACUGUAUAAGGCAAUAUAUCAUUCGCUGUCCCUCUAUUCAUUGAGCUUACACUGCAUUUUGUAUCCGUGAAACACUAUAAAAAACUGCUUGUAACUUCCACUGUUCGGUCCAGUUCUGGUUCUGAUUCCAAGGAGGACACACACACGGUAAUGCAAUAUACAAGAGAUACUUUAUUCAAGCUAUAGCCUAGGUCUCCACAAGAAGUGAAAGACCCCGAGCUUUUCUUAGACCUGGCUUAUAUAGGGGAGAAAGGGGAAGGGGGAGGGGUGGUUGUCCUGACAACCAGGCACCAAAAGGAAGACACAUCAAUCUUACAACUGUGGGGUCCGUGAAGCAGCCACCUAAAAGACCAUAGGGGGAGAGAGGGGAGACCAAGCACGCAAGAAAGACAGUCUGUCUAAUAGUGUCAAGGCUCGUUUAUUGCAGGCGCAGGGCAAGAAUAUAUACACUUGGGGGGGGGUGGUGGUGAUUAAGGACGGGUUGUAAUAGG